RNAcentral lists this ribosomal RNA (253 nucleotides) under uncultured bacterium. RNAcentral's name for it is "partial 16S ribosomal RNA". It matches the Rfam family "Bacterial small subunit ribosomal RNA", at positions 524 to 776 of the family's 1533-position model. The record is from RNAcentral.
UACGAGUACCCCGAGCGUUAUCCGGAAUUAUUGGGCGUAAAGGGUGUGUAGGUGGUCGUGUUAGUCUCCUGUCAAAUUCUUCGGCUUAACCGGGGGUCCGCAGGGGAAACGGCACGACUCGAGGAUGCGAGGGGUCAGUGGAACUCAUGGAGUAGGGGUGAAAUCCGUUGAUAUCAUGGGGAACACCAAAAGCGAAGGCAACUGACUGGCGCAUUCCUGACACUGAGAUACGAAAGCGUGGGUAGCGAACUGG